UUUUGGGGUAAGUUUUGGAUAUCUUUUUGUAAAUUUUUGGUAAUUUUUUCUACUGUGAACUGUCUAUAUAUUCUUAUUUUUCUAUUAAAAUUGUCUUUCAAAAAUAUAAUCUGGCUAUCAUUUUAAUACUUUGGAUUUUAUGUCACUUUCAAAAACAUUGUCCCAGUUUGUUGCCAGUUAAAUUCUUUUUAAAUGGUAUUUUAUAUUGUAUAUGGUGUUUAAUAUUGUUCAAUAUAGAAAUGGAAACUUUUGAUAAAUUGUAUUACUGGUUUCCAAACUACCCUGUGGAAGCAAAAGUAUAGAUUCUAUAGACUAAAGUUUUCUAGAUAAAAAAAUUUUGAUGUUCAU
Molecule: long non-coding RNA, 348 nt
Filed under: Bos taurus (domestic cattle)
Lineage: Eukaryota; Metazoa; Chordata; Mammalia; Artiodactyla; Bovidae
Description: long non-coding RNA NONBTAT008331
Source: RNAcentral